GAUGAAGAACGUAGCGAAAUGCGAUAAGUAAUGUGAAUUGCAGAAUUCAGUGAAUCAUCGAAUCUUUGAACGCACAUUGCGCCCCCUGGUAUUCCGGAGGGCAUGUCUGUCCGAGCGUCAUUAGUCCAAUCUCAAGCCUGGCUUGUCGUUGGGUCGCACCGCCCGGGGCGGUGGACCCGAAAUAUAAUGACGGGGUCUAGCGGACCGUGGGCGCAGCGAGCUUUUACAGCACGCGUCCCGGCGUCAUCUAGACGCGUCUCCAACCAUACUCUCUGUAGGUUGACCUCGGAUCAGACAGGAUUACCCGCUGAACUUAAGCAUAUCAAUAAGCGGAGGA
Molecule: unclassified non-coding RNA, 337 nt
Filed under: soil metagenome
Description: partial contains 5.8S ribosomal RNA, internal transcribed spacer 2, and large subunit ribosomal RNA
Rfam family: 5.8S ribosomal RNA (bases 1-120)
Source: RNAcentral